AGCCUACUCUAGCCCAAUCACCAAUCCAAACAUUAAUAACAAAAACUCACUCUAAACCACAAACUAAAACAUUCUCUAAACUUAGUAUAGGUGAUAGAAAAGAUAUCCUGGCGCGAUAGAGACCUUGUACCGUAAGGGAAAGAUGAAAUAAUAAUGAAAAACAAAGCAACAAAUAGCAAAGAUUAACCCUUGUACCUUUUGCAUCAUGAUUUAGCAAGAAACAACCAAGCAAAAUGAAUUUAAGCUUGUCACCCCGAAACCCGAGCGAGCUACUUACAAGCAGCUAGUCUAUGAGCGAACCCGUCUCUGUUGCAAAAGAGUGGGAUGACUUGUUAGUAGAGGUGAAAAGCCAACCGAGCCGGGUGAUAGCUGGUUGCCUGUGAAACGAAUCUAAGUUCUCUCUUGACCAUCACCCUCCAGGACAAUUAUAACCUUAAUGGAACAGAUCAAGAACAAUUUAAAGGGGGUACAGCCCCUUUAAAAAAGAAAACAAUCUCUACCAGAGGAUAAUUACAUUCCCCCUAUAAAUUGUGGGCCUUUAAGCAGCCACCAGCAAAGAGUGCGUCACAGCUCCAUCUAAAAAAAUUUAAUAACAAAAUGAUUCCCUCCCCAUUAACAGGCCAAUCUAUUCUUAUAGAAGAAUUAAUGCUAGAAUGAGUAACUAAGGAAUUCCCCUCUCAGGCGCAAACUUACAUCCAACAUUAUUAACAGACCAAACCUAUAUCCUCACUCCUACCAGAUUAAAAUAUUAAACUAUCCUGUUAUACCAACUCAGGAGCGCCCACCAGAAAGAUUAAAAUCUAUAAAAGGAACUAGGCAAACCCAAGGCCCGACUGUUUACCAAAAACAUAGCCUUCAGCCAACCAAGUAUUGAAGGUGAUGCCUGCCCAGUGACACAAUGUUUAACGGCCGCGGUAUCCUAACCGUGCGAAGGUAGCGCAAUCAAUUGUCCCAUAAAUCGAGACUUGUAUGAAUGGCUAAACGAGGUCUUAACUGUCUCUUAUAGAUAAUCAGUGAAAUUGAUCUCCCUGUGCAAAAGCAAGGAUAUAACCAUAAGACGAGAAGACCCUGUGGAACUUAAAAAUCAGUAGCCACUGCUUAUAAACUAUAAACCUAAUAGGCCCACUAGCUAAAAAUGCUGGCUUACAUUUUUUGGUUGGGGCGACCUUGGAGAAAAACCAAUCCUCCAAAAAUAAGACCACACUUCUUAACCAAGAGCAACUCCUCAACGUACUAACAGUAACCAGACCCAAUAUAAUUGAUAAAUGGACCAAGCUACCCCAGGGAUAACAGCGCAAUCUCCUCUAAGAGCUCACAUCGACGAGGAGGUUUACGACCUCGAUGUUGGAUCAGGACAUCCUAAUGGUGCAGCCGCUAUUAAGGGUUCGUUUGUUCAACGAUUAAUAGUCCUACGUGAUCUGAGUUCAGACCGGAGCAAUCCAGGUCGGUUUCUAUCUAUGAUAAACUCUCCCUAGUACGAAAGGACCGGGAAAGUAAGGCCAAUACUACUAGCACGCCUUCUCUUUAAGUAAUGAACUCAACUAAAUUACUAAAAGAUUCCUACCAUUAAACCCUUUAUUCCCUAGAAAAGGGACC
This 1596-nucleotide ribosomal RNA is filed under the name Gallinago stenura (pintail snipe). Its description in RNAcentral is "16S ribosomal RNA". It matches the Rfam family "Bacterial large subunit ribosomal RNA". The record is from RNAcentral. Lineage: Eukaryota; Metazoa; Chordata; Aves; Charadriiformes; Scolopacidae.